UACGGGGGGGGCAAGCGUUGUUCGGAAUUACUGGGCGUAAAGGGCUCGUAGGCGGCCAACUAAGUCAUACGUGAAAUCCCUCGGCUUAACCGGGGAACUGCGUCUGAUACUGGAUGGCUUGAGAUUGGGAGAGGGAUGCGGAAUUCCAGGUGUAGCGGUGAAAUGCGUAGAUAUCAGGAGGAACACCUGUGGCGAAAGCGGCUCACUGGACCAUAACUGACGCUGAUGCACGAAAGCUAGGGGAGCAAACAGG
RNAcentral lists this ribosomal RNA (253 nucleotides) under uncultured bacterium. RNAcentral describes it as "partial 16S ribosomal RNA". It matches the Rfam family "Bacterial small subunit ribosomal RNA", at positions 524 to 776 of the family's 1533-position model. The record is from RNAcentral.